RNAcentral lists this ribosomal RNA (354 nucleotides) under Triticum aestivum (bread wheat). RNAcentral describes it as "partial small subunit ribosomal RNA". The record is from RNAcentral. Lineage: Eukaryota; Viridiplantae; Streptophyta; Magnoliopsida; Poales; Poaceae.
AUGAAGAAGACAAGCGGACGUAGUCGAACGAAUCCACACAAACGCGACGUUAUCGAAACUAACCCGAAGAAGCAACACCAAAAAGAAGCAAACAACAUAGUAAACAACCAUCACAAAACAUGGCAUGAUGCACAAACAAGUAUGAUGCAUGUCCGGUUUAAAUAUGCAUGGCAUGACAAAGUGCACAAACAAUCCUACAAAUUAAGUGGAGCUCAAUAUGCAACGAGUUGCAUAUUGACGAAACACCACGUGACUUAUUUAGUUCUCUCCCGUUUAUGUACUCAACCACAUUACAUGUUGAUUAACAUGGCAAGAGGUGAAGCAAAAGAAAACUACCUAUCUAGGCAAGUUUAA